This 492-nucleotide ribosomal RNA is filed under the name uncultured bacterium. Its description in RNAcentral is "partial 16S ribosomal RNA". It matches the Rfam family "Bacterial small subunit ribosomal RNA", at positions 29 to 507 of the family's 1533-position model. The record is from RNAcentral.
AGUGAACGCUGGCGGUAGGCCUAACACAUGCAAGUCGAACGGCAGCACAGUAAGAGCUUGCUCUUACGGGUGGCGGGUGGCGGACGGGUGAGGAAUACAUCGGAAUCUACUUUUUCGUGGGGGAUAACGUAGGGAAACUUACGCUAAUACCGCAUACGACCUACGGGCGAAAGCAGGGGAUCUUCGGACCUUGCGCGAUUGAAUGAGCCGAUGUCGGAUUAGCUAGUUGGCGGGGUAAAGGCCCACCAAGGCGACGAUCCGUAGCUGGUCUGAGAGGAUGAUCAGCCACACUGGAACUGAGACACGGUCCAGACUCCUACGGGAGGCAGCAGUGGGGAAUAUUGGACAAUGGGCGCAAGCCUGAUCCAGCCAUACCGCGUGGGUGAAGAAGGCCUUCGGGUUGUAAAGCCCUUUUGUUGGGAAAGAAAAGCAGCAGGUUAAUACCCCGCUGUUCUGACGGUACCCAAAGAAUAAGCACCGGCUAACUUCAUG